CCUACGGGAGGCAGCAGUGGGGAAUAUUGCACAAUGGGGGAAACCCUGAUGCAGCGACGCCGCGUGAGUGAAGAAGUAUUUCGGUACGUAAAGCUCUAUCAGCAGGGAAGAAAAUGACGGUACCUGACUAAGAAGCCCCGGCUAACUACGUGCCAGCAGCCGCGGUAAUACGUAGGGGGCAAGCGUUAUCCGGAUUUACUGGGUGUAAAGGGAGCGUAGACGGCAGCGCAAGUCUGGAGUGAAAUCCCAUGGCUUAACCAUGGAACUGCGUUGGAAACUGUGCAGCUAGAGUGCAGGAGAGGUAAGCGGAAUUCCUAGUGUAGCGGUGAAAUGCGUAGAUAUUAGGAGGAACACCAGUGGCGAAGGCGGCUUACUGGACUGUAACUGACGUUGAGGCUCGAAAGCGUGGGGAGCAAACAGGAUUAGAUACCCGAGUAGUC
This 440-nucleotide ribosomal RNA is filed under the name uncultured bacterium. RNAcentral's name for it is "partial 16S ribosomal RNA". It matches the Rfam family "Bacterial small subunit ribosomal RNA", at positions 338 to 795 of the family's 1533-position model. The record is from RNAcentral.